CAGGGCUUCAUGCAUGCUAGGCAAGCGCUCUACCACUAAGCCACAUGCCCAGCCCCAUACUAUGGCUUUGAUUUACAUUUCUUUAACAACGAAUGGUAAUGCACUUGGGGAGUUUAAUCUUGAAGCAACCUUUCUAGAAGUUUGGGAAGUUAAUUAGAUUGGUAUGGCUUAAAACUUUAUGACAUGGACACAUAUAUCACCAUUAUAUUCACUAAGUAAAGAUUACCAGAAAAAAGGACUGAAACAAAAUCAGAAAUUUUUAGCUGGGUACAGCUUAUGCCUAUAAUCUCAGCUACUUAGGCAGCAGAGAUGGGGAGCAUCAAGGCUCGAGGACAGCCCA
This is a long non-coding RNA of Perognathus longimembris pacificus (Pacific pocket mouse), 340 nucleotides long. RefSeq lists it as uncharacterized. The record is from RefSeq and is a predicted model, not a curated record. NCBI's taxonomy places the organism in Eukaryota, Metazoa, Chordata, Mammalia, Rodentia, Heteromyidae. The transcript is spliced from 2 exons.